GAGGGUAUAGUUCAGUGGUAGAGCAUAUGCUUAGCAUGCAUGAGGUCCUGGGUUCAAUCCCUAAUACUUCCU
This 72-nucleotide transfer RNA is filed under the name Camelus bactrianus (Bactrian camel). It matches the Rfam family "tRNA". From Rfam's summary of the family: Transfer RNA (tRNA) molecules are approximately 80 nucleotides in length. RNAcentral also lists the same sequence under 1 other name. Lineage: Eukaryota; Metazoa; Chordata; Mammalia; Artiodactyla; Camelidae. The record is from Rfam by way of RNAcentral.